RNAcentral lists this long non-coding RNA (1326 nucleotides) under Sus scrofa (pig). Its description in RNAcentral is "lncRNA (ENSSSCG00015046717.1)". The record is from RNAcentral. Lineage: Eukaryota; Metazoa; Chordata; Mammalia; Artiodactyla; Suidae.
CGACGACGGAGGAGGGUGCCUGCGGUACCAGUUGUGCAAACUCUGUGGAGCAGCCUGGAAUCCUUCCCGGGAAGCGGCGGGAGGUGGGCUAGUGAGGGGCGGGGGUUGUCGCAGGGCCAAGUCUCCUGCGCCGCCCGCAGCCCGGGCGGGGCCGGGGUCCUGACUGACACGUGCGCACCCAGCCUGGCCGGGGGAGGGACAAAGGGGAGCGGAGGGCCAAGAUCUCAUCAACUCAGAGCCGCCUCCCUUCCGGCUGGUGCUGACCAGGUGCCCAGAUCCGGGAACGAAAGCAGCAGGGUACCCACGUGCCAUCGCCAGGCUGGGACGCUCCGGGACAGGACUACCUCUGCCCACCCGGCGCCCCGGGCGCUUGACCGGAGCGCGCAUGCUCGGCGCCCUGACCAAUAGGAAGCUAGGCCCGCCGCAGAGCCGCGCCAGUCACAAGCCGCUCCGGCGAGUGGACGGUGCCUGGGCGGCCGCCCCGCGGGCGAAGGUCUCGGGACCAGGUCUGUCAGACCUCGGACGUGGAAACUGGCAUCUCCCCUGGCUCGGAGUCCGCCCUCUCGGGGCGCCAGCGCAGGUGACCUGGGGCGCGCAGCCCUUGGGAUGCGAGUUGAUCGAUGUGCCUGAGGUGGCCUCUCUGAUUCCACGGCUGUCCCCGUGAGCAGGCGGCUCCAUGCUUCAAAGGCCCUGGAUUCCUGGGACAUGAUGCCACCUUUCCUGAAGUCUGGGCUCCUUACCUUCUCUCUGCUCCGGGCAUACCAUUCCCAAAGGACAGUGGUACUGCAGGGAGCGUCUGCUGGGCCCCCUCCAUGUGUUCUGGACAGGCUGGGGUCCUGGGAAGGGUGCACCACCCAAGUGCGGGGGUGGCAUUCAAGCUCGACACAGAACCUGUGAGAAUGGGCCUGACUGUGCUGGCUGCAGUGUGGCGAUGGAGAGAAAUGCUGUGUCCUAUGGUGUAGAAGUUGGUUGGAGGCCAAACACAGAGUUCCCACAGUGAUCUGGAGGGACUUUGUUCCUCCCAUAAUCACCAUUAACCUGAGCAAUUAAAAAGCAUCUUCAAGCUGGUGCAUUGUUAUCCACUAAACCGGAAGGCUCUCCUGUUGAACAUAAACAAUUUCACAAAAUACCUGCACCAGACAAGGCCAUGGUGUGCUUAUAAUGGAGAAAGAAGACCCCUCUGCAGUCAUGUCUGAACACACACAAACAAGAACCCAGCCCAGACCGCAAAACCUGACCAAGGGUUACCCACUCCCAGCUAAUACGAGUGACUGCUGCCUCGUCUGCACUCCUAAAUAAAACUCACUGAAGAACCAAAUCACAGCA